Molecule: ribosomal RNA, 281 nt
Filed under: uncultured Dialister sp.
Lineage: Bacteria; Bacillati; Bacillota; Negativicutes; Veillonellales; Veillonellaceae
Description: partial 16S ribosomal RNA
Rfam family: Bacterial small subunit ribosomal RNA
Source: RNAcentral
CUUGCUCUUUCCGGAAUUGAGUGGCAAACGGGUGAGUAACACGUAAACAACCUGCCUUCAGGAUGGGGACAACAGACGGAAACGACUGCUAAUACCGAAUAAGUUCCAAGAGCCGCAUGGCCCAUGGAAGAAAAGGUGGCCUCUACCUGUAAGCUAUCGCCUGAAGAGGGGUUUGCGUCUGAUUAGCUGGUUGGAGGGGUAACGGCCCACCAAGGCGACGAUCAGUAGCCGACCUGAGAGGGUGACCGGCCACAUUGGGACUGAGACACGGUCCAGACUCC